This 73-nucleotide transfer RNA is filed under the name Eupristina koningsbergeri. RNAcentral's name for it is "tRNA-Lys". Lineage: Eukaryota; Metazoa; Arthropoda; Insecta; Hymenoptera; Agaonidae. The record is from RNAcentral.
CAAUUGAUAUCUUAAAUUAAAGAAAUGAUCUUUUAAAUCAUUAAUAGUAUAAAUAAAUAAAUACUUCAAUUGA